This 69-nucleotide transfer RNA is filed under the name Ictidomys tridecemlineatus (thirteen-lined ground squirrel). Its description in RNAcentral is "Spermophilus tridecemlineatus (thirteen-lined ground squirrel) tRNA". It matches the Rfam family "tRNA". From Rfam's summary of the family: Transfer RNA (tRNA) molecules are approximately 80 nucleotides in length. Lineage: Eukaryota; Metazoa; Chordata; Mammalia; Rodentia; Sciuridae. The record is from Rfam by way of RNAcentral. RNAcentral also lists the same sequence under 1 other name.
GGGGUUGUGACUCAGCAGUAGAGCGCUCGCCUUGCACGUGAGAGACCCUAGGUUCGAUCCUCAGCACCA